UACGUAGGGUGCGAGCGUUGUCCGGAAUUAUUGGGCGUAAAGAGCUUGUAGGCGGUUUGUCGCGUCUGCCGUGAAAAUCCGGGGCUCGACCCCGGACUUGCGGUGGGUACGGGCAGACUAGAGUGUGGUAGGGGAGACUGGAAUUCCUGGUGUAGCGGUGAAAUGCGCAGAUAUCAGGAGGAACACCGAUGGCGAAGGCAGGUCUCUGGGCCACUACUGACGCUGAGAAGCGAAAGCGUGGGGAGCGAACAGG
RNAcentral lists this ribosomal RNA (253 nucleotides) under uncultured bacterium. RNAcentral's name for it is "partial 16S ribosomal RNA". It matches the Rfam family "Bacterial small subunit ribosomal RNA", at positions 524 to 776 of the family's 1533-position model. The record is from RNAcentral.